UUGAUCGAGGCGCCUACUUACUUACACAAAAAUGAAAAGAUUUAAUUUUCCCCCCAAAAUCAUACCCACUCUGUUACCGCGUAGCUCCUUCUCCACUUCGUCUUGCUUUUCCAUUGCUCGUACCUUCAAUGCCCCUGUAACCAACUUGAUACACACAGGGUGAAAAUCUACCCCCACUGUCGACUACGUCCCGAACCCUAGAUUCUCCUCCACUUCAAAUUCCAUCAGCGGAAGCUACGGUCAUGUUUUCCUGAGUAGACGAGCUCUGUUCCUCCAUCGUUACUAUCGGAGUGAUUUCCUAAACGAUAGCUUUUUGUAUCGGUAGCCAAACGGGAGGACGAGACUCUUGGGUAUUUACAUACCCAACGUCACCGCAGGAUUCCAACGUAUCUACUCCCUCUACUUGCCAUUGAGAACAAGGAAAAGCCUUAUGAACAUCUAAGGCAUACUAGCUUAGGUGCUAUCGAUUCCUUAGUGAAGGGCAACAGGACUUACAUUGGUAAUUGCAUUUGCACUGCUUUUGGAUGGUACUUCAACUUUCAAUGGUGGCAGAGUAGGUCUCUUUAAUCAGCACUUCUUUACUUGCAUUUGAGAAAACUCAUAUACAGGUAUGCCUUUGAAUAUGGGAGCAAUUACUUUUAGUUGAAAGUGAUGAAGUGCACUUAGGAUCGACUUGAAGUUUCUGCUUGGCUAUGUACUGAACAUAUUUCUACUUGUUGUAUACUGAAUGUACUGAACAUAUUUUUACUUGUUGUAUACUGAAUGUACUUUGUUGUUAUUUUCUA
Carya illinoinensis is the source of this 785-nucleotide long non-coding RNA. RefSeq lists it as uncharacterized. Lineage: Eukaryota; Viridiplantae; Streptophyta; Magnoliopsida; Fagales; Juglandaceae. The transcript has 4 exons. The record is from RefSeq and is a predicted model, not a curated record.